Molecule: ribosomal RNA, 508 nt
Filed under: uncultured bacterium
Lineage: Bacteria
Description: bacterial SSU rRNA
Rfam family: Bacterial small subunit ribosomal RNA
Source: RNAcentral
AUUAGAGUUUGAUCCUGGCUCAGGACGAACGCUGGCGGCGUGCCUAACACAUGCAAGUCGAACGGUAGCACAGAGGAGCUUGCUCCUUGGGUGACGAGUGGCGGACGGGUGAGUAAUGUCUGGGAAACUGCCCGAUGGAGGGGGAUAACUACUGGAAACGGUAGCUAAUACCGCAUAACGUCGCAAGACCAAAGAGGGGGACCUUCGGGCCUCUUGCCAUCGGAUGUGCCCAGAUGGGAUUAGCUAGUAGGUGGGGUAACGGCUCACCUAGGCGACGAUCCCUAGCUGGUCUGAGAGGAUGACCAGCCACACUGGAACUGAGACACGGUCCAGACUCCUACGGGAGGCAGCAGUGGGGAAUAUUGCGCAAUGGGGGAAACCCUGACGCAGCAACGCCGCGUGAAGGAUGAAGGCUUUCGGGUUGUAAACUUCUUUGAUCGGGGACGAAAAUGACGGUACCCGAGGAACAAGCCACGGCUAACUACGUGCCAGCAGCCGCGGUAAUAAU